RNAcentral lists this ribosomal RNA (497 nucleotides) under uncultured bacterium. Its description in RNAcentral is "partial 16S ribosomal RNA". It matches the Rfam family "Bacterial small subunit ribosomal RNA", at positions 28 to 507 of the family's 1533-position model. The record is from RNAcentral.
GACGAACGCUGGCGGCGUGCCUAAUACAUGCAAGUUGAGCGCUGAAGGUUGGUACUUGUACCAACUGGAUGAGCAGCGAACGGGUGAGUAACGCGUGGGGAAUCUGCCUUUGAGCGGGGGACAACAUUUGGAAACGAAUGCUAAUACCGCAUAAAAACUUUAAACACAAGUUUUAGGUUUGAAAGAUGCAAUUGCAUCACUCAAAGAUGAUCCCGCGUUGUAUUAGCUAGUUGGUGAGGUAAAGGCUCACCAAGGCGAUGAUACAUAGCCGACCUGAGAGGGUGAUCGGCCACAUUGGGACUGAGACACGGCCCAAACUCCUACGGGAGGCAGCAGUAGGGAAUCUUCGGCAAUGGACGAAAGUCUGACCGAGCAACGCCGCGUGAGUGAAGAAGGUUUUCGGAUCGUAAAACUCUGUUGGUAGAGAAGAACGUUGGUGAGAGUGGAAAGCUCAUCAAGUGACGGUAACUACCCAGAAAGGGACGGCCAACUACGUG